This 395-nucleotide ribosomal RNA is filed under the name uncultured bacterium. RNAcentral describes it as "bacterial SSU rRNA". It matches the Rfam family "Bacterial small subunit ribosomal RNA", at positions 64 to 507 of the family's 1533-position model. The record is from RNAcentral.
GAACGCACCGCAAGGUGAGUGGCAGACGGGUGAGUAACGCGUGGGAACCUUCCCUGUGGUACGGAAUAACUUCGGGAAACCGAAGCUAAUACCGUAUAUCUCCUCCGGGAGAAAGAUUUAUCGCCAUAGGAUGGGCCCGCGUUGGAUUAGCUAGUUGGUAGGGUAAUGGCCUACCAAGGCAACGAUCCAUAGCUGGUCUGAGAGGAUGAUCAGCCACACUGGGACUGAGACACGGCCCAGACUCCUACGGGAGGCAGCAGUGGGGAAUAUUGGACAAUGGGGGAAACCCUGAUCCAGCCAUGCCGCGUGAGUGAAGAAGGCCUUAGGGUUGUAAAGCUCUUUUGGCGGGGACGAUAAUGACGGUACCCGCAGAAUAAGCCCCGGCUAACUUCGUG